GCGGGGGCUCAGCAGUAGAGCAUCUGCCUAGCACAUGCCAGGCCCUGGGUUCGAUCCCCAGCACCACA
RNAcentral lists this transfer RNA (68 nucleotides) under Marmota monax (woodchuck). RNAcentral describes it as "tRNA.Undet". Lineage: Eukaryota; Metazoa; Chordata; Mammalia; Rodentia; Sciuridae. The record is from RNAcentral.